CGCAAGCCUGACGGAGCAAGACCGCGUGAGGGAGGAAGGCUCUUGGGUUGUAAACCUCUUUUCUCAGGGAAGAAGCUCUGACGGUACCUGAGGAAUCAGCCUCGGCUAACUCCGUGCCAGCAGCCGCGGUAAUACGGAGGAGGCAAGCGUUAUCCGGAAUGAUUGGGCGUAAAGCGUCCGCAGGUGGCAAUGUAAGUCUGCUGUCAAAACCCAGGGCUCAACUCUGGUCAGGCAGUGGAAACUACAUAGCUAGAGUUCGGUAGGGGCAAAGGGAAUUCCCAGUGUAGCGGUGAAAUGCGUAGAUAUUGGGAAGAACACCGGUGGCGAAAGCGCUCUACUGGGCCAUAACUGACGCUGAGGGACGAAAGCUAGGGGAGCG
This 379-nucleotide ribosomal RNA is filed under the name uncultured cyanobacterium. RNAcentral describes it as "bacterial SSU rRNA". It matches the Rfam family "Bacterial small subunit ribosomal RNA", at positions 376 to 770 of the family's 1533-position model. The record is from RNAcentral. Lineage: Bacteria; Bacillati; Cyanobacteriota.